RNAcentral lists this unclassified non-coding RNA (202 nucleotides) under Hevea brasiliensis (rubber tree). The record is from RNAcentral. Lineage: Eukaryota; Viridiplantae; Streptophyta; Magnoliopsida; Malpighiales; Euphorbiaceae.
AUUGGAACAAAGAUUGUUGGAAUCAUCACUUGAACAAGACUCAUGUUCCAAAUCAAAAUUGGAUGGCUUUGAUUUUAUUGAUGAUCUUUGACUUCUAAGAGCUUUCAGGGAAACUCUCUGAGGAUAAAAAGACAGAAACUUGGAAAACUCUUUGCUACUUCUAUUCAAUUUCAUCACUGAUUUGUCUCUUUCAACAGAAUCA